This 176-nucleotide ribosomal RNA is filed under the name uncultured bacterium. RNAcentral describes it as "partial 16S ribosomal RNA". It matches the Rfam family "Bacterial small subunit ribosomal RNA", at positions 350 to 525 of the family's 1533-position model. The record is from RNAcentral.
CGCAAUUUGGUUCGGAAUGGGGGCAGCCUGAUCCAGCAUGCCGCGUGUGUGAAGAAGGCCUUCGGGUUGUAAAGCACUUUUAUCGGGAACGAAACUUGUCGGCCAAUACCCGGCAAGACUGACGGUACCCGAGGAAUAAGCACCGGCUAACUCCGUGCCAGCAGCCGCAGUAAUUA